Molecule: ribosomal RNA, 497 nt
Filed under: uncultured bacterium
Lineage: Bacteria
Description: partial 16S ribosomal RNA
Rfam family: Bacterial small subunit ribosomal RNA
Source: RNAcentral
GAUGAACGCUGGCGGCGUGCCUAAUACAUGCAAGUCGAGCGAACAGAUGAGGAGCUUGCUCCUCUGACGUUAGCGGCGGACGGGUGAGUAACACGUGGAUAACCUACCUAUAAGACUGGGAUAACUUCGGGAAACCGGAGCUAAUACCGGAUAAUAUAUUGAACCGCAUGGUUCAAUAGUGAAAGACGGUUUUGCUGUCACUUAUAGAUGGAUCCGCGCCGCAUUAGCUAGUUGGUAAGGUAACGGCUUACCAAGGCAACGAUGCGUAGCCGACCUGAGAGGGUGAUCGGCCACACUGGAACUGAGACACGGUCCAGACUCCUAGGGGAGGCAGCAGUAGGGAAUCUUCCGCAAUGGGCGAAAGCCUGACGGAGCAACGCCGCGUGAGUGAUGAAGGUCUUCGGAUCGUAAAACUCUGUUAUUAGGGAAGAACAAAUGUGUAAGUAACUAUGCACGUCUUGACGGUACCUAAUCAGAAAGCCACGGCUAACUACGUG